Molecule: ribosomal RNA, 467 nt
Filed under: uncultured bacterium
Lineage: Bacteria
Description: partial 16S ribosomal RNA
Rfam family: Bacterial small subunit ribosomal RNA
Source: RNAcentral
GACGAACGCUGGCGGCGUGCUUAACACAUGCAAGUCGAACGGAAAGGCCCUGCUUUUGUGGGGUGCUCGAGUGGCGAACGGGUGAGUAACACGUGAGUAACCUGCCCUUGACUUUGGGAUAACUUCAGGAAACUGGGGCUAAUACCGGAUAGGAGCUCCUGCUGCAUGGUGGGGGUUGGAAAGUUUCGGCGGUUGGGAUGGGCUCGCGGCUUAUCAGCUUGUUGGUGGGGGAGUGGCUUACCAAGGCUUUGACGGGUAGCCGGCCUGAGAGGGUGACCGGCCACAUUGGGACUGAGAUACGGCCCAGACUCCUACGGGAGGCAGCAGUGGGGAAUAUUGCACAAUGGGCGGAAGCCUGAUGCAGCAACGCCGCGUGCGGGAUGACGGCCUUCGGGUUGUAAACCGCUUUCGCCUGUGACGAAGCGUGAGUGACGGUAAUGGGUAAAGAAGCACCGGCUAACUACGUG